GCUGGGUGUGGUGGCACGCGCCUGUAAUCCCAGCUAUUCAGGAGGCUGAGGCAGGAGAAUCGCUUGAACCCGGGAAGGCGGAGGUUGCAGUGAGCCGAGAUUGCACCACUGCACUCCAGCCUGGGUGACAGAGCGAGACUCUGUCUCCA
Molecule: non-coding RNA, 149 nt
Filed under: Gorilla gorilla gorilla (western lowland gorilla)
Lineage: Eukaryota; Metazoa; Chordata; Mammalia; Primates; Hominidae
Source: Rfam by way of RNAcentral